GGUACGUUGACACCUCGACGGAUGACCAAGGACCACCUUUCUCAAGAAGGGAAAACAUCUUGUGAACUGUUUUUGUCUCUGGCGGUCGGAUAUUCUCAAAAACUAUCUGUCAGCUACCGGACUGGUCACGGAUGUGAUCACGUUUUGGAAGCCGUGGACAAGCCGCCAAAAGCUUAGUGAAGACCUCUGUAGCUUUGCUUGGCAAGGCUGCUGAGUGAUUCAUGAAAAACCAAAUUCUAUGUUUAGUUGACUGACCUACAUCACAUAAAGUAAUGUAAAUGAAACAACUUUUGGCAACGGAUCUCUUGGCUCUCGCAACGAUGAAGAACGCAGCGAAAUGCGAUAUGUAGUGUGAAUUGCAGAAUUCAGUGAAUCAUCGAAUCUUUGAACGCACAUUGCACUUCCUGGUAUUCCGGGGAGUAUGCUCGUUUCAGAAUCAUUAAAACCUCAAGAGACUCGUGUCUGCCCAUCCGGGGCUUUGGCAACGUCUGUGGUCCCGAGUGGCGCAGACCGAGUUUCUGGACUUGAGCUUGUUUGUUCGUAAGAACAAUGGCUUUAAAAAGAGUAUUUGCGUUGCUCGAGCUUCAUAGCUGGAAGUAGAAAACCAAGUGCAACAGAUGUGUAUUCAUUUUGAAACAUUUGGACUUUUCGUAAUGAAAGCACGAGCGCAAAUCCAACACGGAUUGACUGAUUCCUAUUUGGAACUGGUUCAAACCACAACAAUGUUGCGGGACGGACGUCCCAGACAUUGAAAACUUGGUCUGAAAUCGAGUAAG
RNAcentral lists this ribosomal RNA (776 nucleotides) under uncultured fungus. RNAcentral describes it as "eukaryotic LSU rRNA". The stretch from base 286 to 439 matches the Rfam family "5.8S ribosomal RNA". Lineage: Eukaryota; Fungi. The record is from RNAcentral.